UACGAAGGGGGCUAGCGUUGUUCGGAAUCACUGGGCGUAAAGGGCGCGUAGGCGGCUUUGUAAGUCGGGGGUGAAAGCCUGUGGCUCAACCACAGAAUUGCCUUCGAUACUGCAUGGCUUGAGACCGGAAGAGGUAAGUGGAACUGCGAGUGUAGAGGUGAAAUUCGUAGAUAUUCGCAAGAACACCAGUGGCGAAGGCGGCUUACUGGUCCAUUACUGACGCUGAGGUGCGAAAGCGUGGGGAGCAAACAGG
RNAcentral lists this ribosomal RNA (253 nucleotides) under uncultured bacterium. RNAcentral describes it as "partial 16S ribosomal RNA". It matches the Rfam family "Bacterial small subunit ribosomal RNA", at positions 524 to 776 of the family's 1533-position model. The record is from RNAcentral.